AGGGGGGUUGUGGGUGGGGGAGGGUUGUGGAGGAUGAGCGAUUAGAUUCCGUGGGACUCAAUGAGCAGGAGGGUGAGGGUCUGGGGCUGAUGGGCAGCUGGGAGGUCUACAGAGAGGCUGCCUGCUUUGAUUACCUGGAGCAGUUCAGGGGGCAACAUCUCAAUUGAGAGCCCCUCCCCCUCCCCCUUCCCCUUCCCUCUUUUCUGAUGGAGUUUCAUUCUUGUUGCUCAGGCUGGAGUGCAAUGACGCUAUCUUGGCUCACUGCAACCUCCGCCUCCUGGGUUUGAGCGAUUCUCCUGUCUUGGCCUCCUGAGUAGCUGGGAUUACAGGCGUGCACCACCACACCCAGCUAGUUCUUUGUAUUUUUGGUAAAGACAGGGUUUCAUCAUGUUCAUCAGGCUGGUCUCGAACUCCUGACCUCAGUUGAUCCACCUGCCUUGGCCUCCCAAAGUGCUGGGAUUAGAGGUGUGAGCCACCAUGCCUGGCCCAAGUGAGGGGUUUCUCUUAAUCAAGGAACAAACAGAGCAUGGAACAAUCUGGCGUUUGGGUAUGACAAAGACUGUUGUGUGUCCUUUGCCAACUAGACUGUUGCCAGUGGGACACAUGAAAAACUGGUAGGAGGAUUUGGGUGUCUAGAGGAUGGGAUGGAAGCAGGGGACACCUCUUCCACAAACAUUUUAUUAUGAAGAUUUCUGAACAUAAUGGAAAAGUUGAAAGGGUUGAACAGAGAACACAUUCAUCUGUCCAUCACAAUUCUACAACGAACAGUUCACGAGAUUCUUUAUUCUACAUAUCUCCGUCCACCCAUUCAUCUUAUUUUUCGAAGCACUUCAAAAGAUGUUUAGAGAUGAUAUUUGCAUGAAGCAGAAUGUACCAAUCUCAAAUGGAUCAAUCUCAGCUCACUGCAACCUCUGCCUCCCGGGUUCAAGCGAUUCUCCUGCUUCAGCCUCCAGAGUAGCUGGGAUUACAGGUGCCUGCCUGUAUUUUUAUAUUUUUAGUAGAGAUGGGGUUUCACCAUGUUGGCCAGGCUGGUCUUGGACUCACCUCAAGUGAUCCGCCUGCCUUAGCUUCCCAAAGUGCUGGGAUUACAGGCAUGAGCCACCACACCUUGCCUAAACUUUAUCAAGAUAUAAAACAUUAUCAUUGCUUCAGAGAGCGUCCCUUGGCCCCUUCCUGGAGAAUCUCUGCCAAGGAACUAUCCAUGGUCCAUCUUUUGUAAGGUAGCUGCUCAGGUAAAAACCACAUUUCCCCGUCUUCUAGGCGGCUUGGCGUGCUUCUGUGAUUAAGUUCUGGUCUGCGGAGUGUAAAUAGAUGCACCAAGCGGCAGCUUCUGAACACAUUCCUUAAAAGACACCCGGUGUGCUCUUGGCCCUUCUUCAUCUUCCCUCCGUGCCAUUGCUUGGAACAGAGCUGUCGUGGCUGCGGUCUUGGACCAUAAAGAAGGGGACACACCCAGGUAUAGUGAAACAGUGAGCUGAAAAGUCCCUGAGUCCUUAAACUCUUCAUGAGUCACUAAACUGCGAUAUUGGCACUUGGGGGAGGGGAGUGGGGGUGGGCGGUCUGGAUUGCUUACUCCAGAUUUUCAUGUGAGAGAGGAAUAAAUGUCUACCCUGCUUCAGCCUCUGUCAAUAAUAGCCUGCAUUCCAGUCAAAGUAGUCUUAAUUACAAACCUGUCCACCUUGUAAAUGUUGUACUAUAUACGUGUAUUACCUACUCAAAAAAGUGAAUCAUAAUACAAAAUUAUAUGUAAAUAAAGAGUCUGCUGUAGAGAC
Non-coding RNA from Callithrix jacchus (white-tufted-ear marmoset), 1772 nucleotides. Lineage: Eukaryota; Metazoa; Chordata; Mammalia; Primates; Cebidae. The record is from RefSeq and is a predicted model, not a curated record.